RNAcentral lists this ribosomal RNA (253 nucleotides) under uncultured bacterium. RNAcentral's name for it is "partial 16S ribosomal RNA". It matches the Rfam family "Bacterial small subunit ribosomal RNA", at positions 524 to 776 of the family's 1533-position model. The record is from RNAcentral.
UACGUAGGGUGCGGGCGUUAAUCGGAAUUACUGGGCGUAAAGGGUGCGCAGGCGGCGUCGCAAGUCAGGCGUGAAAUCCCCGGGCUUAACCUGGGAAUGGCACUUGAAACUACGAUGCUGGAGUAUGGCAGAGGGAGGUGGAAUUCCACGUGUAGCGGUGAAAUGCGUAGAGAUGUGGAGGAACACCGAUGGCGAAGGCAGCCUCCUGGGCCAAUACUGACGCUCAUGCACGAAAGCGUGGGGAGCAAACGGG